GACGAACGCUGGCGGCGUGCCUAAUACAUGCAAGUUGAGCGCUGAAGGUUGGUACUUGUACCGACUGGAUGAGCAGCGAACGGGUGAGUAACGCGUGGGGAAUCUGCCUUUGAGCGGGGGACAACAUUUGGAAACGAAUGCUAAUACCGCAUAAAAACUUUAAACACAAGUUUUAAGUUUGAAAGAUGCAAUUGCAUCACUCAAAGAUGAUCCCGCGUUGUAUUAGCUAGUUGGUGAGGUAAAGGCUCACCAAGGCGAUGAUACAUAGCCGACCUGAGAGGGUGAUCGGCCAAAUUGGGACUGAGACACGGCCCAAACUCCUACGGGAGGCAGCAGUAGGGAAUCUUCGGCAAUGGACGAAAGUCUGACCGAGCAACGCCGCGUGAGUGAAGAAGGUUGUCGGAUCGUAAAACUCUGUUGGUAGAGAAGAACGUUGGUGAGAGUGGAAAGCUCAUCAAGUGACGGUAACUACCCAGAAAGGGACGGCUAACUACGUG
This 497-nucleotide ribosomal RNA is filed under the name uncultured bacterium. RNAcentral's name for it is "partial 16S ribosomal RNA". It matches the Rfam family "Bacterial small subunit ribosomal RNA", at positions 28 to 507 of the family's 1533-position model. The record is from RNAcentral.